This 918-nucleotide ribosomal RNA is filed under the name uncultured Amphibacillus sp. RNAcentral describes it as "bacterial SSU rRNA". It matches the Rfam family "Bacterial small subunit ribosomal RNA", at positions 28 to 912 of the family's 1533-position model. Lineage: Bacteria; Bacillati; Bacillota; Bacilli; Caryophanales; Bacillaceae. The record is from RNAcentral.
GACGAACGCUGGCGGCGUGCCUAAUACAUGCAAGUCGAGCGCGUGAAUCUGACAGAUCCCUUCGGGGUGACGACAGUGGAUCGAGCGGCGGAUGGGUGAGUAACACAUGGGCAACCUGCCUGUAAGACGGGGAUAACUCGCGGAAACGUGAGCUAAUACCGGAUAAAACUUUUCAUCGCAUGGUGAGAAGAUGAAAGGUGGCGUAAGCUAUCACUUACAGAUGGGCCCGUGGCGCAUUAGCUAGUUGGUGAGGUAAGAGCUUACCAAGGCGACGAUGCGUAGCCGACCUGAGAGGGUGAUCGGCCACACUGGGACUGAGACACGGCCCAGACUCCUACGGGAGGCAGCAGUAGGGAAUCUUCCGCAAUGGACGCAAGUCUGACGGAGCAACGCCGCGUGAGUGAAGAAGGUCUUCGGAUCGUAAAACUCUGUUGUUAGGGAAGAACCAGUACGGAUCGAAUAGGUCAGUACCUUGACGGUACCUAACCAGAAAGCCCCGGCUAACUACGUGCCAGCAGCCGCGGUAAUACGUAGGGGGCAAGCGUUGUCCGGAAUUAUUGGGCGUAAAGGGCGCGCAGGCGGUUCCUUAAGUCUGAUGUGAAAUCUCGUGGCUUAACCACGAGCGUGUCAUUGGAAACUGAGGAACUUGAGUGCAGAAGAGGAGAGUGGAAUUCCACGUGGAGCGGUGAAAUGCGUAGAGAUGUGGAGGAACACCAGUGGCGAAGGCGACUCUCUGGUCUGUAACUGACGCUGAGGCGCGAAAGCGUGGGUAGCGAACAGGAUUAGAUACCCUGGUAGUCCACGCCGUAAACGAUGAGUGCUAGGUGUCAGGGGGUUUCCGCCCCUUGGUGCUGGAGUUAACGCAUUAAGCACUCCGCCUGGGGAGUACGGCCGCAAGGCUGAAACUCAAAAGAAUUG